RNAcentral lists this ribosomal RNA (253 nucleotides) under uncultured bacterium. RNAcentral's name for it is "partial 16S ribosomal RNA". It matches the Rfam family "Bacterial small subunit ribosomal RNA", at positions 524 to 776 of the family's 1533-position model. The record is from RNAcentral.
UACAGAGGUCUCAAGCGUUGUUCGGAUUCAUUGGGCGUAAAGGGUGCGCAGGCGGUAAAGUAAGUCAGAUGUGAAAUUUCGGGGCUCAACCCCGAAACUGCAUCCGAUACUGCUUUACUAGAGGAUUGGAGAGGAGAUUGGAAUUCAUGGUGUAGCAGUGAAAUGCGUAGAUAUCAUGAGGAAGACCAGUGGCGAAGGCGGAUCUCUGGACAAAUCCUGACGCUGAGGCACGAAGGCUAGGGUAGCGAACGGG